This is a ribosomal RNA of 372 nucleotides. It matches the Rfam family "Bacterial large subunit ribosomal RNA", at positions 1586 to 1939 of the family's 2925-position model.
UGAAGUUGCUGAUGCCAUACUUCCAGGAAAAGCCUCUAAGCUUCAGAUUAUACCGAAUCGUACCCCAAACCGACACAGGUGGUCAGGUAGAGAAUACUAAGGCGCUUGAGAGAACUCGGGUGAAGGAACUAGGCAAAAUCGUACCGUAACUUCGGGAGAAGGUACGCUCCUAUCUGUGAUGAGACUUGCUCUCUAAGCGGACGGGAGCCGCAGUGACCAGGUGGCUGGGACUGUUUAUUAAAAACACAGCACUGUGCAAAAUCGCAAGAUGACGUAUACGGUGUGACACCUGCCCGGUGCCGGAAGGUUAAUUGAUGGGGUUAGUUUUCGGACGAAGCUCUUGAUCGAAGCCCCGGUAAACGGCGGCCGUAA